GGGUGAUGUGAGACCUUCGAGGGAAACCUGUUAAAAGUCUAGCAGCAGAAUUUUGAACAAUUUGCAGUUUGUUCAGAGCAGACUUAUUCAGACAGGUAAAAACAGAGUUACAAUAAUCAAGUCUUGUUGAUAUGAAAGCAUGAAUAAUAAUUUCCAGAUCCUUCCUUGACAAUAUUUUGCGAAUUUUAGAGAUGGUCCUAAGGUGAUAAAAACAGUUUCGGACGAGCUGUUUUGAGUGUGUUUCCAAAGACAUGGCCUGGUCAAACACAACCCCCAGGUUUCUGAGGCUGCAUAUACAGACCAACAGAAGGUUACGUCAUCAUUGUAGUAUGCUAUAGACUGGUGCUAUGUGAUUGAAAAAAGCAUAAUACCCCCUCUUUAAGGUAUUUAGAAAAGUUUUGCAGGUCUUAGUUUGCCCUAGUGGCUGUGCCCUUAUGGAUUUGGGUAAAGCUGAACUGGAGAAAAUACACUCGGUGAGGCACAUUGAGUUGCCUUGUGCAUGAAAUGUGCUGUAUAAGUAAAUUUGCCUCGCCGCUCUCUGUGCAGUAUGUCCGCGGUUUGUCGUCCCCACAGCGCUGUUUCAGCUGCACUUUAUUAAUCCCCGUCGGGAAAUACGUUCUCUGCAUUUGACCCGUCCUCAAAGCCGCGGGGGCGCCUGGCAGGAGCAGUGUGCUGCCAGCGUGGGCCGGCGCUCGGGGACCCGUCUCCAGAUGUGAAGCCAGGCUGAUGGUCAGAAACCCCUGGCUGGAGGAUUCACCUAUUGCACAUUGACAAAGCCCUGUCCAUAGUCGAUGCUGUAUCUGGACGGAAAGAGACACUUUAACCAAACCGUGCCCUAAAGCUCCUCCGCCGUCAGCCGUCACUAAAGCAGCUCCAAACCUCCAUCCUGUUUACGCCUCCUCCGUGUCCCGUACGAAACGCCAAAGUUUACAACACUCUACAGGACAAACUGACACAUACUGCACUGUUUUGGAUAUUUACUUUCGGCUGCAGUUAUUUAGCUCCGAUAUUGUGGCUCCAUUGUGUCUAAAAGCUGCUAACCCUGUAGUUCAUAGCUCGGUUUAUAUUUCAAAUGGAAUCUGGAACCGCAAAUUGAAUCGUAAUAAUUAUCUGGAAAUUGCAAUCAGAUAUUAUUUAAGUUAAGAAAGAUAAUAAUAAUGCCUUACACUUGUAGAUGUAUCCAGGAAGUAUCUGCCUGAUUUAUUGAGCUUUGAACCCAAAAAAUAAGGCGACAUUUUAAUUUUUACAGAUUUUUUCACUUAUGAAGAAAAUAAACUAGAUCCAAAAUCCCUGUGAGCAAUCUUUGUAACUAAUAUAUCAAUAAAAAACCCUGGGUCUAUUCAUCAUGUAGAUUUGUAUGCAAAAAAAUGAAAACAUGAAACAGAAAACUUGCCAUACAUUUUAUUGUAAUAUUCAUGUCAGUAAUCUACAGCAAAGCAAUAGAUGUUAAUAUAUAAUAAUAAUAAGUCAGUCUCCAAUAUCUUUAAAAGGAGAAGCUUCAAGAAACUGUUGGUUCAAAGUCAUUUUUCAGGGCGAGUCAUUUUUAUUUUCACUCAUCACUGACGCUGUUGUCGACAUUAUGUUUUUAUAAAGUUGUAUCUGUCUUUAUUUCUCUGCAGCUUGUGUGGCUUCUCGAUCCGUUUACCUGCGGCGAGUUUGGGAUCAUGUUUUAUAUUCCUCUGUCAAAACGCUUGAGUUUGAACAUUUAAGCUUUAUGCUUGGAGGGGAACGCGACUGGCACUUUUUUAGCCUUAACAUUAUUAUUAUAGUCACUGCAAUGCAAUAAAUAAUUGUAUUUAUACAAAACAUGGAGUUGUGUGUGUGUGUGUGAUUUAAGUGUGAAAGGAUUUUGAAGUUAAUCAGUCAAAGCCAAACCUCUGAGAGUCAGUCCUACAAUGGCCUCGAUUUGCUCCAUGUCCUAACCAGUGUUUCUCAACCUGGGGUACGGGGACCUCAGGCACUUUGAAUUAUUUCAGACUAAAAAGAGAAGGUGAAAGAAACCGUGUCGUCUGCCAACAUUACUGCCAAAGAAGUUCAUUGUAAAUGGCAAAACUAUAGUGUAUAGUAUGUAU
This 2072-nucleotide long non-coding RNA is filed under the name Neogobius melanostomus (round goby). Its description in RNAcentral is "lncRNA (ENSNMLG00000011285.1)". Lineage: Eukaryota; Metazoa; Chordata; Actinopteri; Gobiiformes; Gobiidae. The record is from RNAcentral.